GAUGCCUCAUCUGGGUCUGCCUUUGCCUGUGAAGCUUCCCUUGGACCUAAAUUAAUUAAUUAACUCUCAUUAAAGGAAGGCCUUUGAUUUGAGAGCAGGGAAACGUGUUUGCGCAGAGGCUACACCCACUUCUUUAUCUGGGAGCAUCCUUGACUGAUAACACUGUGUCAUAAUUAGGCACGUCAAACAAGUUAUAAGUUGAUUCAUUGUCUUUAUGUGGUCCCAGAGGAAGAGGUGAAGGAUGACUGUUCUCCAGAGGAGGUUGCAGAGAGCAGUAUGCAUAGUGUUUCUUAAGUGCUCCAGCUCUUGGGAUAUUUCUGGAGAACUGGGUAAAGGGAGGCAAAAGCAUCUGGACAGUAUUCAGCUAAGUAUCAGACCAUUUGGCACCAGAGGGGACACGGUCUCUCAGGAUGAUAUCUGCACACUUGGGAGUUUACCGAUGUGAAAAAUAGAGAUAUUCAAGCAUCUCCGUGAGAGGUCAAUGGUCAGUGGGAAUAAAGGAUUUACAGAGAAGCUGUAUUUUUCUGAA
This 529-nucleotide long non-coding RNA is filed under the name Phasianus colchicus (ring-necked pheasant). RNAcentral describes it as "lncRNA (ENSPCLG00000001878.1)". The record is from RNAcentral. Lineage: Eukaryota; Metazoa; Chordata; Aves; Galliformes; Phasianidae.